AACCAAGUUUUAAUUCAACCUUGAUUGAAACCUUAAUAAACUUUAAUCAAAUCCUACAUAAAUCCUAAAUCCUAAACCAAAUAAUAGAUCAAAUCUUAGAUCCUAAACCAAACCCUAAAUCAAAGCCUAGAUAAAUCCUAAAUCUUAAAUUAAAUUCUAAAUCAAAUCCUAAACAAAUAUUAAAUCCUAAAUCAAAUCCUAGAUCAAAUCCUAAUUCCUAAACCAAAUCUUAAAUAAAUCCUAAAUCCUAAAUCAAACCUUAGAUAAAUCCUAAACUCUAAAUCAAACCUUAAAUCAAAUUCUAACCCUACUCAAUCUAAUCCUAGUAUAGUUUAGAACCUCAAUAUCUAUCAAUUGAACUCUUGAUCUUGCUUAAAAAUUUACACACUUUUUAACAACUAAGUUGGCAAUAAGCAUACAAAAUUUGAAGAUAAUCAAAUAUACCAGAUAGAAGAAAAAUCCUAAAAUUUACUUAGGUUUUGGCAGGCCUUUUACUCCAAUCUAAAUGUUGAAUUUUUAGUACCAAUAUCUCUUCUUCAAACCAUUUAAUUAUUCUCAAAUUUUACAUAUGUAUAG
RNAcentral lists this long non-coding RNA (576 nucleotides) under Physcomitrium patens. RNAcentral describes it as "long non-coding RNA (PPAT_LNC003127)". The record is from RNAcentral. Lineage: Eukaryota; Viridiplantae; Streptophyta; Bryopsida; Funariales; Funariaceae.